UACACUCCUGCGGGAGGCAGCAGUGGGGAAUAUUGGACAAUGGGCGCAAGCCUGAUCCAGCCAUGCCGCGUGAGUGAUGAAGGCCCUAGGGUUGUAAAGCUCUUUCACCGGAGAAGAUAAUGACGGUAUCCGGAGAAGAAGCCCCGGCUAACUUCGUGCCAGCAGCCGCGGUAAUACGAAGGGGGCUAGCGUUGUUCGGAAUUACUGGGCGUAAAGCGCACGUAGGCGGAUCGAUCAGUCAGGGGUGAAAUCCCAGGGCUCAACCCUGGAACUGCCUUUGAUACUGUCGAUCUGGAGUAUGGAAGAGGUGAGUGGAAUUCCGGGUGUAGAGGUGAAAUUCGUAGAUAUUCGGAGGAACACCAGUGGCGAAGGCGGCUCACUGGUCCAUUACUGACGCUGAGGUGCGAAAGCGUGGGGAGCAAACAGGAUUAGAAACCCUUGUAGUCCCAU
RNAcentral lists this ribosomal RNA (450 nucleotides) under uncultured organism. RNAcentral describes it as "partial 16S ribosomal RNA". It matches the Rfam family "Bacterial small subunit ribosomal RNA", at positions 332 to 798 of the family's 1533-position model. The record is from RNAcentral.